UACGUAGGCAGCGAGCGUUGUUCGGAAUUACUGGGCGUAAAGAGUGUGUAGGCGGUGCUCUAAGUUCGGUGUGAAAUCUCCUGGCUCAACUGGGAGGGUGCGCCGGAACUGGAGUGCUUGAGCGUGGGAGAGGAAAGGCGGAAUUCCUGGUGUAGCGGUGGAAAUGACGUAGAUAUCAGGAGGAACACCUGUGGUGUAGACGGCUUCUGGACCAUUGCUGACGCUGAGACACGAAAGCGUGGGUAGCAAACAGG
This 254-nucleotide ribosomal RNA is filed under the name uncultured bacterium. Its description in RNAcentral is "partial 16S ribosomal RNA". It matches the Rfam family "Bacterial small subunit ribosomal RNA", at positions 524 to 776 of the family's 1533-position model. The record is from RNAcentral.